This is a long non-coding RNA of Ornithodoros turicata, 758 nucleotides long. RefSeq lists it as uncharacterized. Lineage: Eukaryota; Metazoa; Arthropoda; Arachnida; Ixodida; Argasidae. The record is from RefSeq and is a predicted model, not a curated record. The transcript is spliced from 3 exons.
AUGUGUGCCUCCUGAGCCGUAUACUCGUGUGCUUGUCGAAUAAUCCGUGUGCCGGCUGAAUAUGUGUGCCUUCGCUGGAGCGUACUACGUUGUUCCGCGCUCCGCCCGUGAGGAGUGACGUGGCACCGCGUAUUCUACCGCAGUGCAUUCGUCGCUGCGUUCGUGCCUGUUAUGUGCGCUGCAACCUCGCCUUUGAAAGGACGACAACCUUGCUUUCUAAUUACAAGUUUAAUGUUUGCUUAAGACGAUGGACACAUUGCGAAUGGCGGCAGGAGUGGAUCGGCUACAUCGGUGAACGUGGGACUGUAUCGACUGCAAGGACGUGAGUUACAAAAAGCUGUAAUAUUCUAGCAUUAACGUUUGAACAAUACCAGAGUGAUGUUCACUUCGGUUUCUUUACAGGUAGUGUCCUCUGUCAACGGUCACGCAUAUGCGUGCAAAACUGCAACUGCUUCUCACAUCCAAGAGGGGUCUGGUGCCACAUGCUCGGACAAUUAUUCGUCGGCCAUUUCGUUUGGGGAACUGUCGUGUUCGUCACUAAGGAUGGCCUUGGUUGAGCUUUGCAGUGCCAGCCUGGUGCAUCGGAGGGGUUGUGUCCAUGCAACGUGUGCUUCAUAUGUGUGUGUUGGGAUUAGUGAAGCGUGUAUGCUUUCCAUUCAGCCAACGAUGAUGUACUGGAUGAAAUUUAAAGGUAUGUGCACGCCAAUAAAAUUUGGUGUUUCAAGUUCAAUGUCCUUGGUGGAUUUUUUCCCCUAUUU